RNAcentral lists this ribosomal RNA (468 nucleotides) under uncultured bacterium. Its description in RNAcentral is "partial 16S ribosomal RNA". It matches the Rfam family "Bacterial small subunit ribosomal RNA", at positions 28 to 507 of the family's 1533-position model. The record is from RNAcentral.
GACGAACGCUGGCGGCGGGCUUAACACAUGCAAGUCGAACGGAAAGGCCCUGCUUUUGUGGGGUGCUCGAGUGGCGAACGGGUGAGUAACACGUGAGUAACCUGCCCUUGACUUUGGGAUAACUUCAGGAAACUGGGGCUAAUACCGGAUAGGAGCUCCUGCUGCAUGGAGGGGGGUGGAAAGUUUCGGCGGUUGGGGAUGGACUCGCGGCUUAUCAGCUUGUUGGUGGGGUAGUGGCUUACCAAGGCUUUGACGGGUAGCCGGCCUGAGAGGGUGACCGGCCACCUUGCGCCUGAGAUACGGCCCAGACUCCUACGGGAGGCAGCAGUGGGGAAUAUUGCACAAUGGGCGGAAGCCUGAUGCAGCAACGCCGCGUGCGGGAUGACGGCCUUCGGGUUGUAAACCGCUUUCGCCUGUGACGAAGCGUGAGUGACGGUAAUGGGUAAAGAAGCACCGGCUAACUACGUG